CCUACGGGCGGCAGCAGUGAGGAAUAUUGGUCAAUGGACGAGAGUCUGAACCAGCCAAGUAGCGUGAAGGAUGACUGCCCUAUGGGUUGUAAACUUCUUUUAUAAAGGAAUAAAACGAGGCACGUGUGCCUUUUUGCAUGUACUUUAUGAAUAAGGAUCGGCUAACUCCGUGCCAGCAGCCGCGGUAAUACGGAGGAUCCGAGCGUUAUCCGGAUUUAUUGGGUUUAAAGGGAGCGUAGAUGGGUUGUUAAGUCAGUUGUGAAAGUUUGCGGCUCAACCGUAAAAUUGCAAUUGAUACUGGCAGUCUUGAGUACAGUUGAGGUAGGCGGAAUUCGUGGUGUAGCGGUGAAAUGCGUAGAUAUCACGAAGAACCCCGAUUGCGAAGGCAGCUUACUAAACUGUGACUGACAUUGAUGCUCGAAAGUGUGGGGAUCAAACAGGAUUAGAUACCCUUGUAGUC
RNAcentral lists this ribosomal RNA (460 nucleotides) under uncultured bacterium. RNAcentral describes it as "partial 16S ribosomal RNA". It matches the Rfam family "Bacterial small subunit ribosomal RNA", at positions 338 to 795 of the family's 1533-position model. The record is from RNAcentral.